CUCUUUGUCAAUGAUGUUUUCAGUACAAAUGUCUGAACAUAUGAAUUUCAGUGAUUCUUAUUUUUUUUAAACUGAGACAAGAG
Molecule: small nucleolar RNA, 83 nt
Filed under: Hucho hucho (huchen)
Lineage: Eukaryota; Metazoa; Chordata; Actinopteri; Salmoniformes; Salmonidae
Description: Small nucleolar RNA SNORD72 (ENSHHUG00000030775.1)
Rfam family: Small nucleolar RNA SNORD72
About the family: snoRNA HBII-240 belongs to the CD family of snoRNAs.
Source: RNAcentral